AGCGAACGCUGGCGGCAGGCUUAACACAUGCAAGUCGAGCGGGCAUCCUUGUGGUGUCAGCGGCAGACGGGUGAGUAACGCGUGGGAACGUGCCCUUCGGUUCGGAAUAACUCAGGGAAACUUGAGCUAAUACCGGAUACGUGCGGGAGCAGAAAGGUUUAUCUGCCGAAGGAUCGGCCCGCGUCUGAUUAGCUAGUUGGUGAGGUUAUGGCUCACCAAGGCGACGAUCAGUAGCUGGUCUGAGAGGAUGAUCAGCCACACUGGGACUGAGACACGGCCCAGACUCCUACGGGAGGCAGCAGUGGGGAAUAUUGGACAAUGGGGGCAACCCUGAUCCAGCCAUGCCGCGUGAGUGAUGACGGCCUUAGGGUUGUAAAGCUCUUUUCUCCGGGACGAUAAUGACGGUACCGGAGGAAUAAGCCCCGGCUAACUUCGUG
This 437-nucleotide ribosomal RNA is filed under the name uncultured bacterium. RNAcentral describes it as "partial 16S ribosomal RNA". It matches the Rfam family "Bacterial small subunit ribosomal RNA", at positions 29 to 507 of the family's 1533-position model. The record is from RNAcentral.